CUAUUCUCUCUGCGCCUCCUAGCACCACCCGAUCUUCUCUAUCUCUGAACUGACAGUAACCCCAGAUUCAAACUACAAAACCCAACUUCUUGUUCAUAUUCGUUUCAACGACAGCACCAGAUCAACACCCUCUCAUACACAGAUGACAGCUCUUUCUUGAACCCUAACCUAGCCCUGCAAUGACCACAAACCCAUGACAUCAACUGCAUCGGCAACAACAACGAAGAUCUCUUCUUCCCUGUUUUUUCUCAAUUAAUCAUGGCAACAGACUCUGUUUCAUUCCAUACAACAGCAGAGAUUUUAAGAAGAAGAUAGGAGCAGUUGAAGUAAGAUAAGUAAAUCAUAUAUAUAUAUAUAUGUAUGUAUAUAUAUACUCAAAACAAGUAAGUAAAAUCGAACCCACACCUUCUUUUUGCCAAAAUUACAUGUUUAAUUGUGUUAAUUUUGAAAAAGAAAUGCAAUUUUAUUUCUAGGGUCCCUAAGAAUUAGGGGUUUUUCUGUUUUGUAUAUUAAUUAGGGUUUAUAGUCGAAAUUGAAGAUUUUGAAUGACUAAUUUGACCUAAUAAUGGUUCAAUUAGGAUAUACUGAACAUGAUAUGAAUUAUGAUGUUUGUGACAUUGAUGUGCACGAGGGUAAUGAAGUUGAAUUGUGAAGAAGCUGAGAGUCACGCAGGUGUUGGUGGUGGUUUGCAGUUAUGGUUGUGCUGUUGGUGUUUUGAACUCAGAUGAUGAAUUCAAGAUUUGAUGGUUGAAUUGAAGAAGAUGGAAGAGAAAUAAAUGAGCAGUUCAGAUAAAGCAGAGAUGGGGGUUUGAUUUGAAUGGGUUUAUGUCUUUGUUACCAGCGAGAAGUGAAGGAGGAAAUGAAGGUUAAGAUUGGGUUUGUGCUGGAUUGGGAGAUGCGUGCAGUGUUACAUUCCAGAGGUUUGUUUUUAGGACAUCGAAGAGAAUUGAUACUGUUCAGAAUCUAGCUGCAAAGAAGAAACAAGAACUCGCAGAACAAGUGAAGGAUAUUUCUAAGCAUUUCAAAGAGUUUGAUAAGUAUCAUGUUUAUCAGGAAAGUAAUCUGACCUUCAUGAAAAAUACGUGCUCUAUCUGACAACUUGCUGAAUAGUUUUCCUGGGCGCGUUUGCUUGUGAGAGAGAUAUCACAGAGGCCGGAAAGCAUACUUUAAAGAAUAAGAUUGAAAAUAUCAUCAAGUUGUCUCGGGCGCUUGCUUGUUCAUACAAGACAACCAGAAGACGUCCAAAGAUAUUGGUUUAUUGGUUAUGGGUAUAUAUGGAGAGAAGUUUGAAGAUGAAUCCUUCAAGCUAAUUCAUGAUGGAUCUGGGUUUCUAUCUAUGGCAUAAGAAUGGUUCUCAGUUCUUAAUCACUUUCAAGGCUACCCACCAUCUUGAUGGAUCGUUUGAUGCCUUUACAGAGCAGGGGAUGAGCUAUUCUUUUUACUUAUGUAUUUACUUGUUGUUAACAAGAAGCACGUUGUGCUUGGUAAGCUUGUGCUAGGCCGUGAGACUGUAAAGAAGAUUUAGGAAAAGGGAAAACCUGAGUGUACGGUGAAAAUUGUCAACUGCGGGGAACUGGAAACAUCUUGAAGGUUGCACCAGACUUCUGGCAAGGUUGGGUCUUGUACAAUACAGUUUUUUACCGAGUCGAUCAAGG
This is a long non-coding RNA of Papaver somniferum (opium poppy), 1655 nucleotides long. RefSeq lists it as uncharacterized. The record is from RefSeq and is a predicted model, not a curated record. NCBI's taxonomy places the organism in Eukaryota, Viridiplantae, Streptophyta, Magnoliopsida, Ranunculales, Papaveraceae. The transcript has 6 exons.